UUUUGGGGGGUGAGGGGGAACUCCGAAAGCAAAGAAAGCGGGGUGUUUCUCUUCUUUCUCCCCCUCCUCUUCUCCCCAGACUGCACCCAGGGUCUGAAACUUCGAGAGAGUUAUCGCCGCUGCCUUCCUUUAAGAAGAGACCUCGGAAUAAAACACCACCUGCCGUCUUCUCCCAACUCCCCUCCCAUUUCGCUUCCCUCUCACUCCGUCGCUCUCUCUCCCUCUCUGUCUCUCUCUCUCUCUCUCGCACACGUUCCCUCCCCGCCCCUCCACCAGCAUCAGGGGCAAUGGGAAAAGUUACUGGCUGGUACCCAGGCUGGCACGUUGCUCUGCUAGCUGCCCGGACAUGGCUUUUGAUCCUCACUUUUGGCUUCAUCGGGGCAGAAAUCACUUGCAGCUCGUGCCGUUGGCAGGUGCAGCUCCAGCUGCGGGAGCAGCAGCAGCGACCUCAGGACGGAUUAUUAAUGCACUUGAGGACGGCGGGGCGAAGAGGCGACGAGGCGAGGAGGAGACCCGGGGAGGAAAGAGGUGAGAGGCGCCCCGGUGGUGGCGAGGAGCCGCCGGCGAGUGCCGGGGAUCCAGCCCUUUCCGCUUCUGCCCCCGCUGAGGAGAAAGACGCCCCGCCACCUGCAUCGCGCAGCCUGGCGGGCUCCCGGCAGCUGAGCGGCGAGCGCCCCGAGGCUCGGCUCGGCCGCCGAGCGUCGCCCUUGGGUGGGAAUCGAGCCGGGCGCGCCAAGUUCUCUUCCGCCGAAGGGCGCCCGGCGGGGAACUCUCACGCCGGCCGCGCUGCCCGAUCGGCGCCCCUGGGCCGCCCGAGGAAGCCCGGCGCGGAUCGGAGGCGACUGGCGAGCCGGAAGCCCCGAGGGGCUCCGGCGGAGAGAGACAAGCCGCCGGAGAGCCGGGAACGGGCAAGUCCGGAGCAGCUGCCGGGGAAAGCCACGCGCUUCCGCCUGGAGGAGCUGAAAUUGACGAGCACGACCUUUGCCCUCACGGGGGAUUCGGCGCAUAACCAAGCCAUGGUGCACUGGUCGGGACACAACAGUAGCGUGAUUUUAAUUCUGACAAAGCUGUAUGACUACAACCUGGGGAGUAUCACGGAGAGCUCACUGUGGAGGUCAACAGAUUAUGGGACAACAUAUGAAAAGCUGAAUGACAAAGUGGGUCUGAAGACCAUUCUUAGCUACCUCUAUGUCUGCCCAACUAAUAAGCGGAAGAUUAUGUUGCUUACUGACCCUGAGAUUGAGAGCAGCCUGUUGAUCAGUUCUGAUGAAGGCGCCACCUAUCAAAAAUACCGUCUGAACUUCUACAUCCAUAGCAUGCUCUUCCAUCCCAAGCAGGAGGAUUGGAUUCUGGCCUAUAGUCAGGAUCAGAAGUUAUACAGUUCAGUGGAAUUUGGAAGAAGAUGGCUACUACUCCAGGAAAACGUAACACCAAACAGAUUCUACUGGUCUAGGAUGGGUACUACUAAAGAGCCAGACAUAGUCCAUUUGGAGUCAAAGACAGUGGAUGGCCAUGCACAGUACAUCACCUGCAGGAUGCAGAACUGCUCUGAAGCUAUAAGAAGUAAACCUUUCCCAGGAUACAUUGACUCUGACUCCCUCAUUGUCCAGGAUGAUUAUGUGUUUGUUCAGCUGACAUCAGGAGGCCGGCCUCAUUACUACGUGUCCUAUCGGAGAAAUGCAUUUGCGCAGAUGAGGCUUCCUAAGUAUGCUUUGCCAAAGGACAUGCACGUCAUCAGCACUGAUGAGAAUCAGGUGUUUGCUGCAGUCCAGGAAUGGAACCAGAACGAUACGUAUAACCUCUACAUCUCUGAUACCCGAGGGGUCUACUUCACCCUGGCUUUGGAAAAUGUCAAGAGCAGCCGAGACCUGGAGGGCAAUGUGAUGAUAGACCUCUAUGAGGUAGCAGGGAUAAAGGGAAUGUUCUUGGCUAACAAGAAGAUUGACAACCAAGUGAAAACUUUCAUCACCUACAAUAAAGGACGAGACUGGCACUUGCUACAGGCCCCAGACACAGAUCUGAGAGGAAACUCGGUUCAUUGCCUCCUGCCCUAUUGUUCCCUUCACCUACACCUGAAGGUUUCAGAAAAUCCAUACACUUCAGGCAAUAUUGCCAGUCGAGAUACUGCUCCAGGCAUCAUUGUGGCUUCUGGUAAUAUUGGAAAUGAGUUGUCAGACAAUGAUAUCAGCAUGUUUGUUUCAUCUGAUGCUGGAAACACGUGGAGACAAAUCUUUGAAGAAGAACACAGCGUUCUUUAUCUGGAUCAAGGUGGGGUUUUGGUUGCCAUGAAACAUACAUCGCUGCCUAUAAGACAUCUCUGGUUAAGUUUUGAUGAAGGGAGGUCCUGGAGCAAAUACAGCUUCACAUCCAUCCCACUUUUUGUUGAUGGCGUUUUGGGAGAACCUGGAGAGGAGACUUUGAUAAUGACAGUUUUUGGGCACUUCAGCCAUCGCUCUGAAUGGCAGCUGGUGAAGGUGGACUACAAGUCAAUCUUCGACCGACGGUGUGCUGAGGACGACUACCGUCCCUGGCAGCUUCAUAGCCAGGGAGAAGCAUGCAUCAUGGGAGCAAAAAGGAUCUACAGGAAGCGUAAGUCCGAAAAGAAAUGUAUGCAGGGCAGGUACGCUGGAGCCAUGGCAUCCGAACCAUGUGUCUGCACAGAGGCAGACUUUGAUUGUGACUAUGGAUUUGAGCGCCACAGCAAUGGCCAGUGCUUGCCUGCAUUUUGGUACAACCCAUCCUCCUUGUCAAAAGACUGCAGUAUUGGUCAGAGUUAUCUCAACAGCACUGGGUAUAGGAAGGUUGUAUCUAAUAACUGCACAGAUGGUGUGCGUGAACAGUACACAGCCAAGCCUCAGCAGUGUCCUGGCAAAGCCCCACGAGGACUUCGAGUUGUCACUUCAGAUGGCACAUUGACAUCAGAACAAGGGCACAAUGUUACCUUCAUGGUGCAGCUGGAGGAGGGUGACAUUCAAAGAUCAAUAAUCCGUGUGGAUUUUGGAGACGGCAGUGCUGUGUCGUAUGCCAAUCUCAGCUCCACAGAAGAUGGGAUCAAGCACGUCUACCAGAAUGUGGGGAUUUUCCGAGUAACAGCGCAGGUGGAAAACAGCCUGGGGGCAGACAGUGCAGUCAUGUACUUGCAUGUAAAUUGUCCUUUGGAACAUGUCCAUUUAUCGUUGCCAUUUGUGACGACAAAGAACAAAGAAGUUAAUGCCACGGCAGUCCUGUGGCCCAGUCAAGUUGGAACACUGACUUAUAUCUGGUGGUUUGGAAAUAACACCGAGCCACUGAUCACCCUGGAAGGGAGCAUUGCAUUUACAUUCUCCACUGAAGGGAUGAACACUAUCACAGUGCAGGUUUCUGCAGGAAAUGCCAUUCUGCAAGACACCAAGAUGAUUGCUGUGUAUGAGCAAUUUCAAUCGCUACGGUUAUCAUUCUCUCCAAAUCUGGACGACUACAAUCCAGACAUUCCUGAAUGGAGACGAGACAUCAGUCGAGUCAUCAAGAAUGCGCUGGUGGACGUAACAGGCAUUUCCAGUAAGCAUAUCUUGGUGGCAAUCCUGCCAGGUUUACCCACAUCAGCAGAACUCUUUAUUUUGCCUUAUAAGGAUGUCACAGGAGAAGACAAACGAACCGCAGAAGACCUACAACAGAUUUCAGAUAUAUUGCUCCAGAAACUGAACCAAAACGCCAUCCAGUUUGAUUUAAAGCCUGGGGUCCGAAUCCUUGUCCAUGCUGCCCAUUUAACAGCAGCCCCACUCAUAGAUGUCACACCUAGCCACAGUGGUUCAGCCAUGCUGAUGCUGCUCUCCGUGGUAUUUGUGGGAUUGGCAGUAUUUGUAAUCUACAAAUUCAAAAGGAAGAUUCCGGGCAUUAAUGUUUAUGCACAGAUGCAGAAUGAGAAAGAUCAAGAGAUGGUCAGUCCAGGCAGUCAAAGUGAAAGCAUGCCUAAUGUCCCUCAAAGGGAGCUGAUGACCCCAGAACAACUAGUAGAUGAGAAGUUGGAUACCCAGCCCAUAGGGUUGCCAGAUUUCCAAAGACCAAUUCUUGUACACAAGAGGCUAUUGGGAGGAAAAAUUCCUGGACAUCCUGGACGCCAACCAACGAGCGUGAGCAGACUGCCAAGGACUGCCCAGAGUCCAGGACCAGACAGUGCAUAGACUGUUGCCCUACUGAUGAGCAUGCUGGCGGUCAGAUGUACGAGGAGCGCUCGUCAGGCGCAGGAAGUAUUUCCACAGUUGCUGAGACACAAAGCACAAAAGAAAUCCCUACCUGUAUAAAUGUUUGAAACAAGGACACCGGUCUAUCUCUGUCCCCUUCACCCUGAUAUAUAUAUAUGUAUAAAAAGAAAAAAAAGGAAACCAAUCACUGCUUUUGGACUUUUUGAUUCUUCUGAAGACAAAUGGGGUUUUUAGCUUUAAGCCUGUGCAUGUGGAUGUCAUUUGGAUAACAUAUUGGGAACUGCAGUGUACAGGUGCUCUAUUUUAAUGGAGUAAAAGAGGAAGGGAAAAAACACUUCCUCUUAAUCCUCUUCUCUCUUCUUUUCUAAUCAAGGUUUAAUUUGUAAGUGAUUCAUAAUGAAUAUAGGCCAAGAACGUGCAUGGGGUCUUUGUGGGAGGGGGUGGAAGUUCCUGACUUUCGGUAUAACUUAUGCUUUUAGCACUGCAAGAUUGUAGGUGGAUUUGCCACUCCAGCCUACAUUCCUGCACCUGCAAUCCUAUACACACGGACUUAGAAGUAAGCCCCACUGAACUCAAUGAGGCUUUCUACUGAGUAGACAUGCAUAGGAAUGCAGUGUCAAAUACUCACAAAAAUCUGCACUAGAGUUUGAUGGCAUCACAAUGUUCUUAUGGGGGGUUGUUUAUGUUUUUCAGAUGUCUCUGUUUGGACUUUUACUUUCUGUCUUGUGAUGUUCCUUUGUCUAAAGCUGUUUUUAGCUUGUUCAGAUACAGUUCAAGGUCCAGACGCAGCUCAAGUUCCUUUCACUGGCAGAAUCAAAUUCUUUCCUAUACAUAUGUUGUCCCUUCAUUCAUGCCUGUCUAGGGCAGUGUGGCUGCCCAGAUGUUCCUGGACUUCAGCUCCCAUCAGCUCUAGCCAGCAGAGCAGGCAAUAAAAGAUAGUGGGAGCUGGAGUUCCAUCAGACCUAGAGAAUCACAGUUUCCCCAUCCAUAUCAUAUGGGACAAUGAACUAGCUACUCCAAGACUGACCUUUGAAGGAUCCAACCAUAAAAUACAUUUCACACUCUGAUUCUUGUUAGUUACAUUCUGCACAUACUCAUUGCACUCAAGAAUGAAAAUGGAAUGGUGCUAUCCAGUCCAAAUUGAUUCAGUCCUGCUUAGCAUCCAGCAUUCUGACUAUUCUGUUCUGACACCAAUAGUUUUAAGGGAAGCUGAGUGCAAUUUGUGGUAGGUAUACAGUAUUUCCCAUACUGUACACAAACAUUUAUUUUGCUCCAUUGUUCCAUCUGGCCUAACAGAUCGAGCAAUUAGUGUAUAACUCACGAGCACAAAUCCUUUUCUUCUUCUUCUUCUUCUUCUU
This is an RNA transcript of Zootoca vivipara (common lizard), 5539 nucleotides long. It is a transcript of the gene named sortilin related VPS10 domain containing receptor 1, with no coding region annotated. Lineage: Eukaryota; Metazoa; Chordata; Lepidosauria; Squamata; Lacertidae. The record is from RefSeq and is a predicted model, not a curated record.